Cornus florida is the source of this 1549-nucleotide RNA transcript. RefSeq lists it as uncharacterized. The transcript has 10 exons. The record is from RefSeq and is a predicted model, not a curated record. NCBI's taxonomy places the organism in Eukaryota, Viridiplantae, Streptophyta, Magnoliopsida, Cornales, Cornaceae.
GUAUAUAUAAAUUCCAUUACUGGGGCCUCAGGACAUGUAACGAGGAGUGAGUGUGAGACUGUGAGAAGGGGAAGAUAUGAUUGUAUUGACAUCGUUGAAAUCGUUGGUUCCACCAAUUCACUAUGGUUGGAGUCGAUGCGGCUUCUUCUGUUCUUCCUCUACAAUUCUUCGCAACUUUUCAUUGCCUCUACCUCUCUCUCCUCCUCCUCCUAUUGUAAAAGAACAAGUAUUGUGCUGUAAAACCAGAUACAGAUACGGUAAUUGUUCACUCUCUUCCUCCAACUUCUCUCUUCUCAAUCAGAAACCCAAUGCCGUUGAAGGACAGGCUCUAGGAUUAACCGAAGAAGACGACGAUGAAUUUCAACUAUUGACGGCCCUUAGAAGCCGUUACAAUGAUAUAGUUAUCGUGGACACCCCCAAAUCAAGGAUGCUGCUUCUCGACUCUACUCUUAACGUUCACAGCAUUUUUAACAAGGGACAGAAAUGGACUGGUUCGUAUUGGGAUGAGUUUGCUAGCUUGCCAGCUAUUAUUCCGAAGGGACCCAUUGCAAUCCUCGGCUUGGGUGGUGGAACAGCUGCUCAUUUGAUGCUUGAAUUAUGGCCUUCAUUGCAACUUGACGGCUGGGAGAUUGAUGAAAUUUUGAUUGAUAAAGCAAGAGACUAUCUCGGGCUGUCUGAUCUUGAGAAGCAUACUCAAGCGGGUGGCAUUCUUCGUGUUCAUGUUGGUGAUGCACUUUCUCCUUCAGUUAAUGUUCCUGGAGGAUAUGCUGGCAUUGUCAUCGACUUGUUCUCUGGUGGAAGGGUUUUACCGCAAUUGCAAGAGGUUGCAACUUGGUUGGAACUGAAUGAUAAGUUGAUGCCAAAUGGCCGUCUCAUGGUAAAUUGUGGUGCUGCCAAUGAUGGAGCAUCCAGUGGUUCUGAUACGGUAACUCAUCCUAAAAUUUCAUCCAUUGAUGACACUUGGGUGAAAAAUUCUACCAUCAAGGCGUUAUGUGAAGUAUUUCCUGGAAAUUUAAGCUGGAAGAAAAUGCCAAAGAAUGCGGGUGAAAAUUAUCUCGCACUGACGGGACCUUUGCCAGAUUUGACCACGUGGUCUGAUGUUCUUCCAGAUCAACUGAACGUGGCUGUCAAGCAAUGGAGGCCUUGUUGCCCUUCAUAAAUUUUUCACUAGAGUUGCAUUUUAAAGCUGCAAUCUCAUGCCCUUUGAUCAUGCGAUGGGGGGACCAGCAUGCUAGACCAUCUCAUAGCAAGUGACUGCAAAGAUAAAGCUGCAUUUCCGAGCUGAUGUCAUCCUUAACAACGCAUGGACAGAGGAAGCUGAUGCAUUCCUUUGUCACAUGCUGGUUGUGUUGCACAAGUGGUGGGUUUUAUCCAAAGGUAAAUUACAGAAAAAGUUUUAAAGUGUCAUUUUUUUCCUUCUUUCUUUUUUCGCUUCCUAUUUUAUUUUAUUUAUUUUUUAUUUUUUAAUUUCCAAAUCUUUGUAUCCUCUCUAAAAUUUCAGGAAAACAGAGUAAGUAUUAGAAUGGGAUAGCGUUGCCCAUUUUGUGUC